AUUGAACGCUGGCGGCAUGCCUUACACAUGCAAGUCGAACGGCAGCACGGGUGCUUGCACCUGGUGGCGAGUGGCGAACGGGUGAGUAAUACAUCGGAACAUGUCCUGUAGUGGGGGAUAGCCCGGCGAAAGCCGGAUUAAUACCGCAUACGAUCUACGGAUGAAAGCGGGGGACCUUGGGGCCUCGCGCUAUAGGGUUGGCAGAUGGCUGAUUAGCUAGUUGGUGGGGUAAAGGCCUACCAAGGCGACGAUCAGUAGCUGGUCUGAGAGGACGACCAGCCACACUGGGACUGAGACACGGCCCAGACUCCUACGGUAGGCAGCAGUGGGGAAUUUUGGACAAUGGGCGAGAGCCUGAUCCAGCAAUGCCGCGUGUGUGAAGAAGGCCUUCGGGUUGUAAAGCACUUUUGUCCGGAAAGAAAUCCUUGGCCCUAAUACGGUCGGGGGAUGACGGUACCGGAAGAAUAAGCACCGGCUAACUACGUG
Molecule: ribosomal RNA, 486 nt
Filed under: uncultured bacterium
Lineage: Bacteria
Description: partial 16S ribosomal RNA
Rfam family: Bacterial small subunit ribosomal RNA
Source: RNAcentral